This 88-nucleotide transfer RNA is filed under the name bacterium. Its description in RNAcentral is "tRNA-Ser". It matches the Rfam family "tRNA". Rfam says of the family: Transfer RNA (tRNA) molecules are approximately 80 nucleotides in length. Their secondary structure includes four short double-helical elements and three loops (D, anti-codon, and T loops). The record is from RNAcentral.
GGAGAGGUGCGAGAGCGGUUGAAUCGGGCUCCCUGCUAAGGAGUUGUAUCUAUUGCGGGUACCGUGGGUUCGAAUCCCACCCUCUCCG